This is a long non-coding RNA of Drosophila sulfurigaster albostrigata, 360 nucleotides long. RefSeq lists it as uncharacterized. The transcript has 2 exons. The record is from RefSeq and is a predicted model, not a curated record. NCBI's taxonomy places the organism in Eukaryota, Metazoa, Arthropoda, Insecta, Diptera, Drosophilidae.
UUUUAACAAGCCGGAAAUUUUUAUCAUGUUUUAUGCAACGAAAUUCAAUCCAUUUUACGUUGGCGAAUGUCCCCCUGGGCCAAUGUUAUGUCGACCCUUUCGCGGAGGCAGUUUGUCCAAUGGAUGCUCUUCACCUUGUAGAGGAUCUCGUUGUGGUUCUUGUAGUCCUUGUCAUUCAGGUUGUGCUUGGGGAUCCUGCAAUGGCGGUUGCUGCACUUCGACUGGCUGUGGCUGGUAAACAAAUACCAAAAGAGUGAAUCCACCGCCAUUAUGACUGAAUAAAAUUGUGUGAAUUUAAUUUCCUCUUAACAUUACAUUGCAUGCUGUACCAAUUUCUGACAAAUUAAAGUAAUAAAUUAU